GACGAACGCUGGCGGCGUGCUUAACACAUGCCAGUCGAACGGAAAGGCCCUGCUUUUGUGGGGUGCUCGAGUGGCGAACGGGUGAGUAACACGUGAGUAACCUGCCCUUGACUUUGGGAUAACUUCAGGAAACUGGGGCUAAUACCGGAUAGGAGCUCCUGCUGCAUGGUGGGGGUUGGAAAGUUUCGGCGGUUGGGGAUGGACUCGCGGCUUAUCAGCUUGUUGGUGGGGUAGUGGCUUACCAAGGCUUUGACGGGUAGCCGGCCUGAGAGGGUGACCGGCCACAGUGGGACUGAGAUACGGCCCAGACUCCUACGGGAGGCAGCAGUGGGGAAUAUUGCACAAUGGGCGGAAGCCUGAUGCAGCAACGCCGCGGGCGGGAGGACGGCCUUCGGGUUGUAAACCGCUUUCGCCUGUGACGAAGCGUGAGUGACGGUAAUGGGUAAAGAAGCACCGGCUAACUACGUGC
RNAcentral lists this ribosomal RNA (469 nucleotides) under uncultured bacterium. RNAcentral's name for it is "partial 16S ribosomal RNA". It matches the Rfam family "Bacterial small subunit ribosomal RNA", at positions 28 to 508 of the family's 1533-position model. The record is from RNAcentral.